UACGGAGGAUGCGAGCGUUAUCCGGAUUUAUUGGGUUUAAAGGGUGCGUAGGCGGACUGUCAAGUCAGCGGUAAAAUACGGGGGUUCAACCUCCGCCCGCCGUUGAAACUGACGGUCUUGAGUGGGCGAGAAGUAUGCGGAAUGCGUGGUGUAGCGGUGAAAUGCAUAGAUAUCACGCAGAACUCCGAUUGCGAAGGCAGCAUACCGGCGCCCAACUGACGCUGAAGCACGAAAGCGUGGGUAUCGAACAGG
RNAcentral lists this ribosomal RNA (252 nucleotides) under uncultured bacterium. RNAcentral's name for it is "partial 16S ribosomal RNA". It matches the Rfam family "Bacterial small subunit ribosomal RNA", at positions 524 to 776 of the family's 1533-position model. The record is from RNAcentral.